Molecule: non-coding RNA, 491 nt
Organism: Paramormyrops kingsleyae
Lineage: Eukaryota; Metazoa; Chordata; Actinopteri; Osteoglossiformes; Mormyridae
Source: RefSeq, a predicted model, not a curated record
AAUCAGUGAUUAUUAAACGUACUGCCUGGGAGAAGUGAAAACACUGCCUGGAUUUGGAACCGAGGACCAGAUUUGAACAGCCUUAAUUUACGCCUUAAUGCACUGACACUGAAAUAAGAAGUCAGUAGUUUCAAGCAAACUGGCAGGAAACUGUCGGAGAAGCAAGAUUUCCGUGGCCUUCAGUGGACAGAGGCUGCAAAACGGUCACCAGCUGCACAAUGGAAAUAUUUUAACAUCGUAGGGCUCCGGAGAUGGUGUCGUCUGAUCGGGGCUUAUGUGUAUUUUUCUGCUACGUCAUAAACUAUGAUAAGAGUGAAGCACGUCUUCUCGAUAGAUGCACCUCGAACUCCUGCAAGCUUGUGAAGAUCCGCAGAUCCAGAGCAAACGAGAAUGAUCUGACAGGGGCUGAUGGGAUAAUACUCCAACAUUUAAUCUUCUAACAAAGUACUGAUUUUGGCAAAAAUUGAAACUAAAUAAGUCAGAUGGAAACC